GAUGAAGAACGCAGCGAAUUGCGAUAUGUAAUGUGAAUUGCAGAAUUCAGUGAAUCAUCGAAUCUUUGAACGCACAUUGCGCCCCUUGGUAUCCCGAGGGGCAUGCCUGUUCGAGCGUCAUUUCACCACUCAAGCCUGGCUUGGUGUUGGGCGACGUCCCCUUUAGGGACGCGCCUCGAAACGCUCGGCGGCGUGGCACCGGCUUUAAGCGUAGCAGAAUCUUUCGCUUUGGAAGUCGGGGCCCCGCCUGCCGGAAUACCUACUCGUAAGGUUGACCUCGGAUCAGGCAGGGAUACCCGCUGAACUUAAGCAUAUCAAUAAGCGGAGGA
Molecule: unclassified non-coding RNA, 329 nt
Filed under: soil metagenome
Description: partial contains 5.8S ribosomal RNA, internal transcribed spacer 2, and large subunit ribosomal RNA
Rfam family: 5.8S ribosomal RNA (bases 1-120)
Source: RNAcentral